This 707-nucleotide long non-coding RNA is filed under the name Homo sapiens (human). Its description in RNAcentral is "long non-coding RNA NONHSAT204881.1". The record is from RNAcentral. Lineage: Eukaryota; Metazoa; Chordata; Mammalia; Primates; Hominidae.
CAGCCGGCGGGCGCGGAGCGGGCAGCGGGGCCCGGAUCGCAGGCUCCUCUGGGGGCCCCGGAGUUGGGAAGCGGCGUCCGGGAGCCCCCGGAGGAGGAUGGGCUGCAGACACAGCAGGCUGAGCAGCUGCAAACCCCCGAAAAAGAAGCGCCAAGAACCAGAACCAGAACAGCCACCCAGACCAGAGCCCCAUGAAUUAGGUCCCCUCAAUGGGGACACAGCUAUAACUGUCCAGCUCUGUGCAUCAGAGGAGGCUGAGCGGCACCAGAAGGAUAUAACCAGAAUUCUCCAGCAACAUGAGGAGGAAAAGAAGAAAUGGGCACAACAGGUGGAGAAGGAAAGGGAGCUAGAGCUUCGAGACAGACUGGAUGAGCAGCAAAGGGUCCUGGAAGGAAAGAAUGAAGAGGCCCUUCCUCCGGGCCUCAUAUGAACAGGAGAAAGAAGCGCUUACCCACUCUUUCCGGGAGGCCAGUUCUACCCAGCAGGAGACCAUAGACAGACUGACCUCACAGCUGGAGGCUUUCCAGGCCAAAAUGAAGAGGGUGGAGGAGUCCAUUCUGAGCCGAAACUAUAAGAAACAUAUCCAGGAUUAUGGGAGCCCCAGCCAGUUCUGGGAGCAGGAGCUGGAGAGCUUACACUUUGUCAUCGAGAUGAAGAAUGAGCGUAUUCAUGAGCUGGACAGGCGGCUGAUCCUCAUGGAAACAGUG